UACAGAUUUUUGAUUUUUGAUUUAUGUGAAAUUUAUUUCGGUUAAAAAUUAAAUGGAUAGCUUUGGAUAAAUUAAUGAAUAGUAAAAAAAGGAUGAGUAUAUCUAAUGUUUUCUUAAUAAGAGUUAUAAACGAAUGAUUUAUUUAUUCUUUUAUCACGAGAAAAGUUAUAUAUACAUGACUUAUCUCAUAAAAAAUUCAUGCUUUUUACGAUAAAUAUCAGAUAAUUAAAAUUAAUAAUAGCUGGAUGAUCAUCCGAUAUCUCGUAUUAACAUUGAAAGCUCGUGAAAUUCGAUUCGACUUCGAUGUGGAAGAAAUAUGCCACCCGGUGUGUAAAGUUCGUCAUAAGAUACCCAGAGCACCGUUUAAACGCGAAUGCUCGUGAAGCUGGGACACGUUUUCGCUUUAUGACGCUUAAUCGUCGCUUAAGCAGCGCGUUGAACUUCCAGUUUCCAACACACUCAAUGACGAUUGCAAAAGGAUCACAAGUUUUACGAAGUUUUCUUUACGACUCAACGCGAGAAGUGACUUCGUGAUUGCUUCUUCGGUAGAACCCGAUCUUCCACCGAGGAAGAAUGUCGUACAAGGCGAGUUCUCGUAAAAACUAGUACCUGUUCUCGUAAGCGUCUCAGGAACCGGAUUUUCAUUGGCACACCCUAUAUAAGGACACGUUUACGCACAAUUAUACGAGAAAAGUACUCCUUUCGAAAUAUGUAUGUAUAUCUGCCCCAUCGAAUGAAUUUUCUAUAUUGCCAUCUUGCAAAAGCGUAUAAAACAAUGUUAACAAAAGAAUAUUGACAUAUGCGAUAUCGAAGGAUAGAUGCGAAUAUUCUAGUUAUUGAGAGCACUGCAUUUCGAAAGCAGAAAAUGCUGUACAUUGUGUUUGGUAAAAAAUUAUGAAAGAACAGUAAAAACGAAAAUAUACGUUUGUAUGCCGAAUUUCGGUGAACUUUUUGAUGAAUUUGUUUGACGUUCUAGCUAUGUUUGAUGCGGCUAUGGGCUCGUAUCCGAUAUUACUCAUUUUUCAAGUAUAACUAUGCGAACGAUGUUUCCGAGAGGAAUUUCAAUUAAAUUUUUACACCGUGUCCAUUGUUCAUCGAACCCAAUAGCGACGCAAUUAAUAUGCAUUUUUCUAGUUAGAUAUUUUUCUGCUACUGGUAAUAAUUUAAAAAACAAAAAAAAAAUAACAUAUAAUAUUUAUAUAUGAAACUUUGAAAUUCAUACUUUCCUUGCAAAUUAUCAAUGCAAGAGAAAGAGCAUGAAGAAUGGCAUAUCGGACGCCAUUUUUUAUUCAAUUAAUUUUUUUCACGAAAGGACUCAUAAUUUGAUUUUUCUAUCUCUCACUCUCUUCCCCACUUUUUCUUUUUCUUUUUUCUUUUUUUUUUCUUUUUUUGUUUAAAGUGAAAUAAUACAUUCUACAUAUACAUAUUCAAUUUUUAUUUCCAAUUGUAUUUGUUUUUUCUUCCUUUUUUGAAUAUAUCCAUCACAUACUUUUCUCUGUAAUUCCGUAACUAUAGAAACUCUCUCAACCAUGAACUCCUUUCAAUUUGAUUCGAAGCCAUCUUUUGUAAAGCGAACUGCAUUUAACUCGCUCAAAAAUGCGUUCCUUUUGUGCCACAACUCUUGGAUAAAUUACCGUGAAAAUUCUUCGAUAAAAAAGAAAGGCUUCUCUUGCAAAAGAAAUAGUCUUUAUAAAAUGGAACCUUUUACCAAAGUGUUUACACACACACACAUGCACGUACACAAGUAGAUAUAUAUGCAUAUGGUUAAUUCAAUAAAACAAAGUUUUUCUUUUCUACCAUGAAAACAGCUUUUUUUCUUUUCUCGUAGGAAAACUCUUUCUAAGUGAUUUAAAAAAAUUUGUACUAUUUUCUAAUGAAUUUUCAUACAUUUGUAUGAAAUGCAAAUUAAUAUUUUCAUUAAUUUAAAAAAAAAUUUAUUUUAACUAUAGAAUUACAAUUUGUUUAAUCUUUUUACUUAUUGUAAUAGUCAUUGUUCAAAAAAUUCAAUUAUGUAUAAAUUAUUCUCAUAUUUCUUCAAAUUUAUAACACAAGUUCGUUUCGUUCUUCCAUAUCUUUCAUUAGUUGCCUUUUUUCAUCUCUAGCUUAUCUCUUAUACACCCACGAGAAAAUAUCUCAUAUAAGAGAAAGAGAAAAGGUAAAGAAUAACGAAAGAAGGGAAUUAGAACGCUCGUAAGUUCAAAGAAUGAAACUUCCACUCUCCGACGGAAUGAUAACCCAACAAUUAAAAAAAAGAACUAAAAAAAGCAAUCCCAACGAUAUAUCGUGAAAAAAUUUUAAUUAGAUUUUUUCAUUCGAUGAUAGAACCAGUAUAAUUAAAUGUAAGUGUGUGUGUGUAAUAUAUAUAUAUAUAUAUAUAUAUAUAUAUAUAUAUAUAUAUUCAUACGUUCGUAAAUAAAAACGAUGUCUCUAGAGCGAAAAUUUACAGAACGUAUCGACGAUGUUCGUUGUACUACAUCGCUCUAAUUAUAUUGUUCACUUACGAUCGUCAUCGACCGUAUAAACGAUGAAAGUUUCGUAAAUAAUAAACUUUGAAAUAACUUGCUUGCAAUACAUGAUCCUGAUUUAAGUAGAGCUCAUCGAGGAAGGAUUCAGAUCAUUAAACAACUAAAGUAAAAUUACAUUGGAAGAAAAUCUAAUUUCCAGAUAAAGAAUUAUCAUUAUUUAUGUUCCUUUCACUUCUAUUUUGAUCGUCGAAAAAAUCACAUUUACAAACGUACUAAAAUCGCCUAACUUAUUUUUUUGUAACAAUAAAUAGAAGAAAAGAAAAAAAGCAUAAGAAAUAUAAAACGAAAUGUUCCUUCAACGCCAUUCUCAAUUCCUUUUCGUCUUUCCUCGUCAAAAAUGUAGGUACCGAACGAAGUUUCUUGUCGAUUUAUUGUCGACUUUAUUGGCCCGUAAAGUAUGCCAUUGAGGAACGUUCACUUGAAGAGAUGAUUUUUGCGAAAAAAGAGAAUAAAAGGUAGAAAAGGUAAAUCGGAUAAGGUAGUUUCUCAGGACUCAUUGUGAGUUGCUUAAACUUUAUAAUUUUGUGGUGCUGUGACAGAUUACUGAUAAUAUCGACCUAGGCUAUAUAGACAUGUACUAAAUAAGUAUGUACACAGAAGUAUAUAAGAACAUUUUUAACAGAAAUAGGAAGAGGUAAACAAAGAUAGUCGCAAUAAAUUACUCGGUUAAGCGGCGACAAUAUACGAUGGCGUUUGAAAACUAGAGAGGGUCGUCCUGAAAAGCAAGAAGAAGUUUGCUCGAUGAGUCCUCGGCUUUCCUGGACCAGGUCAAACGAACGAAACGUUAUAGAGGAAUACGAGUGAAUAGUAAGAGGAGGAGUGGAAAGGGGUGCAUACGAAGUUUGGAGGGGUCGCGACGUUUGGUUCUACGCAAACCAUACGUACGUACAUCUAGUAAGUGUGUUCUUCUCUUUCAUCUAACCCUCCUAACGGCCUUUGACGAUCCACGGAUAAGACAAAUAUUUGCUCUGCUGGAUAAAUAGUUGAUGACUACGAGUACGUAUAUAUGUAUAUUUGUAUAGACGUACUCAGCUAAAGCUCGAAAUAUUUUGAUUAAUAACGGUUGAAAAUUUUCUUUCUUUUUUAUCACUUGCCUUUUGUCUUCUUUUCUCUUUUUCGUAUGAACGCCAAUAGUUCUGAAAAUUGGGGUUAUUGAAAUAGAUAAGCUUAAUAGUGA
Vespa crabro (European hornet) is the source of this 3702-nucleotide long non-coding RNA. RefSeq lists it as uncharacterized. The record is from RefSeq and is a predicted model, not a curated record. NCBI's taxonomy places the organism in Eukaryota, Metazoa, Arthropoda, Insecta, Hymenoptera, Vespidae. The transcript has 2 exons.